This 1445-nucleotide ribosomal RNA is filed under the name metagenome. RNAcentral describes it as "bacterial LSU rRNA". It matches the Rfam family "Bacterial large subunit ribosomal RNA", at positions 1452 to 2925 of the family's 2925-position model. The record is from RNAcentral.
UUGGUGACAGAACUGUGGGGACGCAGAAGGAGAGCACUACCUGGAAUGGAAUCCAGGGGCAAGCACAGGAGGGGUACGGCUGGAAAAACCGCCGUGCAACCCAAAGGUGUGACGCAUACCGAACUAAAGUAGGGAAAUGUGUGAGCCGGCUGCCGAGAAAAGCCGCUAUUGUUUGUACUGUACCCGUACCGUAAACCGACACAGGUGGAUGAGGAGAGAAUCCUAAGGCCGACGGAAGAAGCAUUGCUAAGGAACUCGGCAAAAUGACCCUGUAACUUCGGGAGAAAGGGUGCCUCGAAAGAGGCCGCAGAGAAUAGGCCCAAGCAACUGUUUAGCAAAAACACAGGUCUAUGCAAAACCGCAAGGUGAAGUAUAUGGGCUGACGCCUGCCCGGUGCUGGAAGGUUAAGGGGAGAUGUCAGGAGACGAAGCAUCGAACUUAAGCCCCAGUAAACGGCGGCCGUAACGAUAACGGUCCUAAGGUAGCGAAAUUCCUUGUCGGGUAAGUUCCGACCCGCACGAAAGGUGUAAUGAUUUGGGCGCUGUCUCGGCAAUGCAUCCGGUGAAAUUGAAGUGCCAGUGAAGAUGCUGGCUACCCGCGCCAGGACGGAAAGACCCCAUGGAGCUUUACUCCAGCUUGAUACUGGGAUUCGGUAUUGUAUGUACAGGAUAGGUGGGAGGCUGAGAAAUGGUGACGCCAGUCGCCAUGGAGCCGCUGUUGGGAUACCACCCUUGCAGUACUGGAUUUCUAACCAGCAGCCGUGAUCCGGCUGGGGGACAAUGUCAGGUGGGGAGUUUGACUGGGGCGGUCGCCUCCGAAAGGGUAUCGGAGGCGCUCAAAGGUUCCCUCAGAAUGGUCGGAAACCAUUCGAAGAGUGCAAAGGCAGAAGGGAGCUUGACUGCGACACCGACGGGUGGGGCAGGUACGAAAGUAGGACUUAGUGAUCCGGUGGUAUUAAGUGGGAAUGCCAUCGCUCAACGGAUAAAAGCUACCCUGGGAUAACAGGCUUAUCACUCCCAAGAGUUCACAUCGACGGAGUGGUUUGGCACCUCGAUGUCGGCUCAUCGCAUCCUGGGGCUGUAGUAGGUCCCAAGGGUUGGGCUGUUCGCCCAUUAAAGCGGUACGCGAGCUGGGUUCAGAACGUCGUGAGACAGUUCGGUCCCUAUCCGGCGUGGGCGUAGGAUAUUUGAGAGGAGCUGACCUUAGUACGAGAGGACCGGGUUGGACUGACCUCUGGUGCACCGGUUGUCAUGCCAAUGGCACAGCCGGGUAGCCAAGUCGGGAAGGGAUAAACGCUGAAGGCAUCUAAGCGUGAAGCCCCCCUCAAGAUGAGAUAUCCCCCGCAUAAGCGGUAAGACCCCUUGAAGACGACGAGGUAGAUAGGGCAGAGGUGGAAGUGCAGUAAUGUAUGGAGCUGACUGCUACUAAUACGUCGAAGGCUUAAC